This is a long non-coding RNA of Entelurus aequoreus (snake pipefish), 5628 nucleotides long. RefSeq lists it as uncharacterized. NCBI's taxonomy places the organism in Eukaryota, Metazoa, Chordata, Actinopteri, Syngnathiformes, Syngnathidae. The record is from RefSeq and is a predicted model, not a curated record. The transcript has 3 exons.
CUCUUAUUGACACAGCAAUUCUGACGUAAUAAGCAAUAUAUUCUGUCAACACAACACAUUCUGUUCUUUUGGACUUGGACUUAGACUCACAUAAUGUUCAUAGGGGUCGUCGUUUUUGUUGUACGAUGAUCCGUUUGAAUCCUUAAUGAUGCCUUCCAUUUCAUGGACAUCGUGAACAGCUACAGACACCAUCUCCUGCAUUACAAACAUAAAAACAUUAAAAACAACGUUGAAUCCAUUUGAAUUUGGCUGACAAUGAAGACUUUGCAUCACAAACCUGAACAUACUGCAAGUAACUUUGGACAUUUUUAACCAACUGCCUUACAGCUUUCUCCAGACUCCUGAACAGCUUCUCCUCUCUAUCGAAUACUUCAUCUCUCACCUGCAAAAGCGAAAUGAAAGUUAAAAAAAAUGCCCCGUAUAUGGAUAUAGAAUCCCAAAUCGGAGCGGUAUUAGAUAAGCAAGGAACGAGGAGUUGGGAUGUUUCUUUGUAUUACCUGUGGUUCAACUCCUGUGAGGAUCUUGAGAUAACCAGCAAACCUGUCACUUUUCUUCCUGAUUGAGUGGAUGUUGAACUUGUGAAGUUUGCGCAGAGUUCCUUCAUCUUCUGAAUUUUUGUACUUCAUUACUGAAAAAAAAUCCAAGGUGUAAAUAACACAAUAAUAUCGUCAAUAACUUCACACCUUAGUGAUACCAUCUGUAAAAAACUACUAUCUAUAAGGGCGCCACGUCACCUAUGUCUUUGCGCCUCUUGAACUCGUUGAUGUUGACGUUUAUGAUCUUUGCAGCAGUAAAGGCCUCUUGCAGCGGCCGGAAGUCGGGGUGGUCUUCAGGUGUGGCCUGCCACAGCUCGCCAAGCAGGAGUGGGUACUUCAUGAUCCUUUGUACUGGCUUUAUGAGCAGCGAACCCAUGUCCAGCAGGUUGGGCUUCCCUCUGGUACGUCACACAUGAUUCAAUAUGAUUAAGGACGCCCUAAAAAGUCAGAUUUUAAUCCCGACAUUCCCAGGUACUUACUCUAGGUCGUAGAUUGUUCUGCAAUUGGGAGGAAAAGAUAUCAGAAUAUGAGUUUUUACUGUAUACUUUUUAAUACAAUUGAACCUCUAAAGUUGCAUGUCCCUUAGUUCGUAGAAUUCAGAAUUUGUCCCGCGUUUUAGAGGGAAAAAAUGCCAAUAGCAGAAUACAUUUAAGUUGAGAAGCAUCCUAAAAGUAGCUGACGAGAUCUUGCAGAGUUGAACACUUUCAAAAGAUUGACUUUACAUGUGUUUUUUUGGCCCCACAUAUUCCAAAAUAAUAACCAGCUUCAACCAGGGGAACGUGAGAAAAGAAGAAGAAACACUGAAAAUUACGCACAAUAAGUUGUCUUACAUUGAAGGUUAAGGUACUUUAUACGUUCUGACAUUUUACUAUUAACAGUGGUUGGGAUUGGGGGUUAAAUCACCAAAAAUUAUUCCCGGGCGCGGCCACCACUGCUGCCCACUGCUCCCCUCACCUCCCAGGGGGUGAUCCAGGGUGAUGGGUCAAAUGCAGAGAAUAAUUUCGCCACACCUACUGUGUGUGUGACAAUCAUUGGCUUCUUUUUAUACACGUAGGGCAAUCAAGAAUGUUAACAGUUCCAUGUGUCAGUCUAAUCCGUGACACAACCUUUGUAAUUUUUCUUGCGUAGUUAAGCCUGAAUAUUGUAUUUGUUUUGCAUUUUAUUACCGUUAUAAGCAAUUUUUACACGGGAACAGGAGUUAGGAGUUAGGGUUUGGGCAUUGCAUGUUAAGAUAUUGUGGAUAAUUACCUCUGCCAUGAGGUUACGUAUUUGCAGGUGUCAGUUAGUUUGCAACUGAACUCAAAAUGUUAUUGGCGGAUUUUGAUUAAAUGUUCAGGAAUAAAUGGGAUAAGGAACAAGUGAUUAUAUUUUAGAGGAUAUCUGGUGCUCUGUCGAUGUAUGCUACCCAACGCCACUGAGCAUGUGCGCGCAUGCCCGCAAACGUAAAUAUUUCAAAUGUAUGCCUCAAACAAAAUACUAAUCGAUGCCAUGUGUUUAAAAAAACUGUUUAUUUCAUUGUACCUUCUGACCAGCAUUACAGGGUGAGAAAGAUCAGAUUGUAUAUUAAUAUAUUUAUUGUAUAAACGCAUUUGGACAAAUACAGCGUGAGAACUUCACAUCGACGCAAACAAUGGUAGCUUACAUUUUAAGUUUAAACACCGCUUUACGCUACUGAUAGCUUUUUUUCGAGGAAGCAGCAAAAUUCGACAGACCACCGGAUCAUUUCUACAACGUUACCGUGCAACGCUGAACUUGUGUGUUCAGCCUAUGCUCAUGUCCCCGCCGCCUCCACCCACAGAGACAAAGAGAGUGGAUGACUGACAAAAGAGUUCAGUCCAUUUAUUUCAUUCUGCCAUUAAACAAAAGUACCUCGCAGCUGCUGACACCAAUGUAGAGAACAAACUCUCUUGCAGCCUAUUUUGACGCAACAGACAAACAAAACAAACAUGCUCAAAUGUGGCAGGUUCAUUUAUCCUUUGAUUCGCUGGGGUUUGUGUGUCUGCAAAUUUUGAUAUUGGUUUUAUAUAUAUAAAAAAUUUUUUUUUUUAUUCAGUCAUUGGUGGAGCUAAGAAUAGUAUUUGAAUAUUGUUUAUAAUAUUUUUGUGCAGCACUUUGGAAACUUUUGUUGUUUAAAUGUGCUAUAUAAAUAAAGUGGAUUGGAUUGGAUUGGAAAUUAGCAACAUAGCUCAAAAUACAUUGGCAGAUUUUGGAUUUAACUUUCAGGAAAUUUCAGAAAAAGAAUAAAGAACAAAUUAUAUGAUUCUGGGGGUGAUCCAGACCACAUCAGGAUUUUUUUCCAACAUUAUACUAUUGAGUGAUAAGGCCUGGCUGAGGUCUGUGCUCUCAGAGUACCUUUAUAGUUGUUGUUUUUUUAUCCUGCAGGAAACAUGUCAGCCAGUGUCCUGGAACGGAUUGUGAUUAACCUGAGAGGUUUUACCGUAUCAGGAAGUUGCAGAAAGAAGCAACUGUUUAAGAGGAAGUAAAUCCACUUACUUCAGUGAUAAUACACAUGUGGUGAAAUGUUGCUUUACUUCUUCCUCUUUCUCAUAGGAUUCCAGUGACAUGUUGGCGUCGUCGUGAUGGAAUAGAAAGGUGCACAAUCUAGCUGCGAGAAUCGGAGGAAUGGAGAUUACCUAUAACGACGGCCUCCGGAUCCGGGUCUGACAUGGCGUCCUGGAGUCUGUGAAGGAGUGUGGCUGAUACCUCGCACACUGUCUCCAUGUGCAACUGUACUGUGCAAUCUACAAGACACGACCUGCAGGUUUCUUAGAGGCUGCACCACCUCCCGAAUGCACAGCUCCAUGUCAGUGAGGUAGUCUUUUUCAGUCUGCAUCAGCUCUUGAAUGACCUUUGACCUGCGCUUCAUCUUUCUUAAACGGACCUCCUCUGGAUCUAGCGCUGGUGAGGCGGGGGUGGACAAGUCAUGCGGUGACAUUUUUUCUGCGGAAGACGUGUUAGAUAUUAUUAGUGACCAGAACAUGAUUUAUGCCACCGCUAUUUAACUUGUGGCCCGUGGGCCACAUGCGGCCAGGGAAUGACUUCAUAUCGGCCCCCCGAAUUUAGUUCAGAUAUUUAUGCAGCAAAUUUCUAACAAUAGUAGAAUGGUCCCAUUGUAUAGAGGACCUUGGACUACUGUAAACAUAUUGGCAAAUCCUUAAAUUGACAUUUUAACCUUGCUACCUUUCCAGCAAACAUAGAACCAAAUCCAAACUUGUGAUUUACGUAACUCAGGCAUUCCUCAAGGCACCAGUUUAGGUCCUCUCUAUUUUUGGCAGUUACAAUUUUUUCGUAAUGUCCAUCCAUCCAUACAUCCAUCCAUUUUCUUCCGCUUAUCCGAGGUCGGGUCGCGGGGGCAGCAGCCUAAGCAGGGAAGCCCAGACUUUCCUCUCCCCAGCCACUUCGUCCAGCUCUUCCCGGGGGAUCCCGAGGCGUUCCCAGGCCAGCCGGGAGACAUGGUCUUCCCAACGUGUCCUGGGUCUUCCCCGUGGCCUCCUAACGGUUGGACGUGCCCUAAACACCUCCCUAGGGAGGCGUUUGGGUAGCAUCCUGACCAGAUGCCCGAACCACCUCAUCUGGGUCCUCUCGAUGAUUUAUGUAAUCAAGGUGUUUCUGUAGCUUGCUUGCAUCAGAAGCAGUCAGGAGUCAUUUGUUCAACUUUAUAGUUAUACUAGUGAUGUUCCUCAAGGUUCCAUUUUAGGUCCUCUCUUUUUUAUCUUUUUGGCUAUUCAACUAGUGACCUAGGGGAUAGGUUGAUUGGCAACACUAAAUUGUCCCUAGUGUGUGAAUGUGAGUGUGAAUGUUGUCUGUCUAUCUGUGUUGGCCCUGUGAUGAGGUGGCGACUUGUCCAGGGUGUACACUGCCUUCCGGCCUAUUGUAGCUGAGGUAGGCUCCAGCACCCCCCGGGACCCCGAAAGGAAUAAGCGGUAGAAAAUGGAUGGAUGGAACUAGUGACCUAUGAGUUUGGUUCAAAAAUCUUGUGAGACUCACAUUUUUUGCAGUAGGUCCAUAAAAACAGCAGACAGCUCCUGUCACUCAGACCAAAAUAAAUACUGGUAGACCUAAAUCAAAUGUCUACGCUGGUGUUCUGUAAUACACAAAAGAGACUAAUAGUGAAGGAAGAAGUGUGACCCUACGGUCCUUAGCUUUCUGAAAAUGUGGCCACCCAAAAAAUGUUGUUGGAUACCACAGUUCUAUGCCAUUUAGUAAAGCACAAAUCCUCCAGAGUGCCAUAUUUGCGUUGUUGUGCAGACCACUUCUUGUUUUACUGGGACGAUGUAAGACCGCAUGGCAUCGUACCGUAUUUAAUAUUUUUUGUGUUUUUUUUGUUUUGUUUUUAGAGGGGUGGGAGUGUCAUUUGGAAAUAUAUCAAAUUUCCCUGGAAUUUUCACACUAGCGUUGCCGAGGCCAAGUGGACUGGAAGCUGUGCUUGGACUGCCCACAGUGCCGAAGGUGAUUUUCUUUUUUCCAUAAAAUGUAGAUAAUGCGGGAACAAUAUAUGGUGGGAAGUCACCAGGAAAGAAGGGCAAAUGACAGGAGUUACCCGGGUAAAACGGGAGGUAUGACAGCUUCAGAAGGGAAAACAAUUAAAGACAUUUCAUUAAAUUUAGGAAGUGCCAUGUUUUGGUUUGUUUGUCCAUAUUUGGUGGUGUAUGUGUGGUUCCAAUUUGACUCAGACCAAAAGAGAGAAUAACAUCUUCUAACCAAACUUAAUACCAACCAGAGCACGCCGUUCGGUAUGGUGGCCACUGAUUGGCUCAGCCUCAGGCAGCAUUACUAUAUUUGAUUACAAGAGUUUUAAGGUGACUAUGUGGUUGUUUGUUCAUGUCCAGAAGGCUCUCAUAAGGUAAAAAAAAACAUAUUUCCAACAUCGUAAACAGGGUUCUAUGCGUUAACUCUAACAACAUUUGAUUUAUAAAUAAUAAUGCCUACUUUACGGAAAUUAAGUUACCACCAAUUAACAACAAUAAACAAGAAGUUACUGUACAGUAUGUGUUUGUCUGUCCGUUUUUUUGUUAGCAGGCUACUUCCUGGUUCAUGGAGAAUAAAUACCUUAAGACGACUAGACUGUAGUACAUUUGAUUUGCUGUGUUCA